This 256-nucleotide ribosomal RNA is filed under the name uncultured bacterium. Its description in RNAcentral is "partial 16S ribosomal RNA". It matches the Rfam family "Bacterial small subunit ribosomal RNA", at positions 524 to 777 of the family's 1533-position model. The record is from RNAcentral.
UACGUAGGGUGCAAGCGUUGUCCGGAAUUAUUGGGCGUAAAGAGCUCGUAGGCGGUUUGUCGCGUCUGCUGUGAAAACUCAGGGCUUAACCCUGAGCCUGCAGUGGGUACGGGCAGACUAGAGUGUGGUAGGGGAGAUCGGAAUUCCUGGUGUAGCGGUGGAAUGCGCAGAUAUCAGGAGGAACACCGGUGGCGAAGGCGGGAUCUCUGGGCCAUAACUGACGCUGGAGGAGCGAAAGCAUGGGGAGCGAACAGGA